GCCACAUCACGUUGAAAGACCAGUUCCUGUAUGAUUGCUGAAGUUAAGCAACAUCAAGCCUGCUCAGUACUUAGAUGGGAAACCACUUGGAAAUACCAGGUGCUAU
This is a non-coding RNA of Acanthosepion pharaonis, 106 nucleotides long. NCBI's taxonomy places the organism in Eukaryota, Metazoa, Mollusca, Cephalopoda, Sepiida, Sepiidae. The record is from the annotation of a GenBank genome assembly.